RNAcentral lists this ribosomal RNA (1054 nucleotides) under uncultured organism. RNAcentral's name for it is "bacterial SSU rRNA". It matches the Rfam family "Bacterial small subunit ribosomal RNA", at positions 124 to 1207 of the family's 1533-position model. The record is from RNAcentral.
AUCUACCUUCGGGUCUGGGAUAACAUUCCGAAAGGGGUGCUAAUACCGGAUACGUCAGCGUUGCUGGGAAAGCUCCUGCGCCCGAAGAUGAGUCCGCGUCCCAUUAGGUAGUUGGUGAGGUAAGGGCUCACCAAGCCGAAGAUGGGUAGCUGGUCUGAGAGGAUGACCAGCCACACUGGGACUGAGACACGGCCCAGACUCCUACGGGAGGCAGCAGUGGGGAAUCUUGCGCAAUGGACGAAAGUCUGACGCAGCAACGCCUCGUGGGUGAUGAAGGCCUUCGGGUCGGAAAGCCCUGUCAGAAGGGAAGAUAAUGACGGUACCUUCAGAGGAAGCACCGGCUAACUCCGUGCCAGCAGCCGCGGUAAUACGGAGGGUGCAAACGUUGUUCGGAAUCAUUGGGCGUAAAGCGCGCGUACGCCGCGCCGUACGUCGGGUGUGAAAUCCCGGGGCUCAACCCCGGAACUGCGCUCGAAACCCCGGUGCACGAGUCUCGGAGGGAGAAGUGGAAUUCCUGGUGUAGGGGUGAAAUCCGUAGAUAUCAGGAGGAACACCUGCGGCGAAGGCGACUUCUUGGCCGAAGACUGACGCUGAGGUGCGAAAGUGUGGGGAGUGAACAGGAUUAGAUACCCUGGUAGUCCACACUGUAAAAGAUGCUCACUAGCUGGCGGGUGCAUGAACCCACGAGCUGGUGCAGUUAACGCGUUAAGUGAGCCGCUUGGGGAGUACGGUCGCAAGAUUAAAACUCAAUGGAAUUGUCGGGGGCGCGCACAAUCGGUGGAGCAUGUGGUUUAUUUCGAAGCAACGCGCAGAACCUUCCCUGGGUUUGACAUCCUCCGAGCAGACCAGAGAUGGACCGGUGCCCUUCGGGGAACGGAGUGACAGGUGGUGCAUGGCUGUAGUCAGCUCGUGUCGUGAGAUGUUGGGUUAAGUCCCGCAACGAGCGCAACCCUUGUCUUUAGUUGCCAGCGAUUCGUUGGGGGACUUUAAGAAGACUGCCGGUCUAAAACCGGAGAAAGGUGGGAAUGACGUCAAGUCCUCAUGUCCUUUAUAC